CUUCAUUGAAGAGUGACAGUAAUUGCAUCUGCCUGAGAGUUGAUAAGAAAAUUUGUCAAGUUACAAAAUUAUAUCACUGUGACCAAAGAAUAGAUCACCAUCCCAAGCGUUUGAAGAUGACAUCGUGGGAUGGCAUUGUUGGGAUGCCCCAAAUCUCCCAGAUAUUUACAGGAUAAACAGUGACCAGAAAGAGAGAGUUCUUGGGUUCCUUCUGCCAUAUUCAUGACGCUCAUGAAAAAUAGCUGAGGAGAUGCAACUUCCAAGCAUUCCUGCCACAUGGAACAGAGUGAGGAUAAAUGAAGAACACAGAAAGCCAUUACCUCAUCUUUGGGAGCACCAUCACUGCCCAAGCAAGACUUCUAUUUCAAUUGUCAGUGCAUGUUUUUUUUUUCUUUCUUAUAAUGUGUUUUUUAAACUGUCAAGGCCCCACAAAGAACUUUUUUGAAAUCCUCCCACUAAUGGAGGGGAGAUGGCCCAGAUUGUCGUAACCCCAGAGUAUGAGGACUUGAUUUGCUCCUAAUGCAUUUUUCCCAUCACCUGCCAGCAAAAAUC
This 552-nucleotide long non-coding RNA is filed under the name Phascolarctos cinereus (koala). Its description in RNAcentral is "lncRNA (ENSPCIG00000006482.2)". Lineage: Eukaryota; Metazoa; Chordata; Mammalia; Diprotodontia; Phascolarctidae. The record is from RNAcentral.